Molecule: non-coding RNA, 284 nt
Organism: Pelobates cultripes (western spadefoot toad)
Lineage: Eukaryota; Metazoa; Chordata; Amphibia; Anura; Pelobatidae
Source: the annotation of a GenBank genome assembly
CCCCCCCACACACACAUUUAUACACAGCACUCUCACACUCAGCACUCUGCACUCUCACACAUCACACUCAGCACUCUCACACACAGCACUCUCACACACAUCAUACACAGCAGUUUCACUCUCACACAUCACACUCAGCACUCUCACACACAGCACUCUCACACACAGCACUCUCACACACAUCAUACACAGCACUCUCACACACAUCACACUCUGCACUCUCACACAUAACACACACAGCACUCUCACACACAUCAUACACAGCACUCUCACACACAUCACAC